RNAcentral lists this ribosomal RNA (119 nucleotides) under Sphenodon punctatus (tuatara). Lineage: Eukaryota; Metazoa; Chordata; Lepidosauria; Sphenodontia; Sphenodontidae. The record is from RNAcentral.
GCCUACGGCCGCACUGGACUGAAUGCGUCCAAUCCCUUCCGAACUCAGAAGCUAAGCGGUCCCGACCCCGGCUAGUACCUGGAUUGGAGACCGCCUGGGAAUCCUGGGUGCUGUAGGCU